Molecule: ribosomal RNA, 592 nt
Filed under: uncultured marine eukaryote
Lineage: Eukaryota
Description: SSU rRNA
Rfam family: Eukaryotic small subunit ribosomal RNA
Source: RNAcentral
AACCUGGUUGAUCCUGCCAGUAGUCAUAUGCUUGUCUCAAAGAUUUAGCCAUGCAUGUCUCAGUAUAAGUUUUCACACAACGAAACUGCGAAUGGCUCAUUAAAACAGUUAUAGUCUACUUGAUAGUCAAUCGUUAUAUGGAUAACUGUGGCAAUUCUAGAGCUAAUACAUGCAUAAAGACCUGACUUCUCGGAAAGGUCGUAUUUAUUAGAUACAGAACCAAUCCCUUCGGGGUUUUUGGAUGAUUCAUAAUAAAUGAACGGAGCGCAUGACUUGUGUCGGCGCUGUUUCAUUCGAGUUUCUGACCUAUCAGCUUCCGACGGUAGGGUAUUGGCCUACCGUGGCAUUGACGGGUAACGGAGAAUUAGGGUUCGAUUCCGGAGAGGGAGCCUUAAAAACGGCUACCACAUCUAAGGAAGGCAGCAGGCGCGCAAAUUACCCAAUCCUGAUACAGGGAGGUAGUGACAAGAAAUAACACAGAGAGUGCUUAUCGCAUUUCUCUUUGGAAUGAGCAGAAUUUAAAUCUCUUUUCGACUAUCAAUUGGAGGGCAAGUCUGGUGCCAGCAGCUGCGGUAAUUCCAGCUCCAAUAGC